Molecule: non-coding RNA, 72 nt
Organism: Podarcis lilfordi (Lilford's wall lizard)
Lineage: Eukaryota; Metazoa; Chordata; Lepidosauria; Squamata; Lacertidae
Source: the annotation of a GenBank genome assembly
UUAUAGCUCAGUCAGUAGAACAUGAGGCUUUUGAUCUCAAGAUUGUUGGUUUGAGCCCCACUCUGGGCAAAG